Molecule: long non-coding RNA, 1453 nt
Organism: Brassica napus (rape)
Lineage: Eukaryota; Viridiplantae; Streptophyta; Magnoliopsida; Brassicales; Brassicaceae
Exons: 3
Source: RefSeq, a predicted model, not a curated record
AAGAGUUUUUGAUUCAUCACCAGUCCUGCGAAAAGCAAUCAUUCUUGGAUAUAGUCCAAUCCGACCUUGGCUGUCCAUAGCUCACUGGGUGAACUGGCAUUUCAAUCUGAGAAAGUUCAGACCAAGCGAAGUGAAUAGGGUGAAGAUUAGCUUGGCUUGUGUUUUCGCCUUCAUGGCCGUUGGGUGGCCACUGAUCAUAUACAAAUUUUGGCAUAUUAGGAUGGGUUGAGUUCUGGUUGAUGCCAUGGUUGGGCUAUCACUUUUGGAUGAGCACGUUCACGAUGGUUCAUCAUACGGCUCAAGCACAAUGCAGAAGAGUGUGACACCAUGCCUACAAAGAUAAUGCAACCAAACUAUAAUUAUGUUUAGAUAGUAUUGUAUAGAGGAAAUUAAAUAAAGAGCACCAAAAGGGUGUGAGACAAGUUCUAGAGAUAAGUUUCAGCAUGAAAUUUAACGAAAGAGUUACUCUUUAUACCUGAUCAGUUCUUUAGCCUAAACUAUGAGACCAUUUAAAGAUACUUUGUCACCUGAAAAACAAAGACACAGAAAACAUCAAUCCUCCACGUCACUUUACAGGAGCCGGAGAGCUUUCGCUGGAUGCCAAGAGUCUGUUUACCAAGCUUUCACCAACUAAAUUUUGCUUGAACGUGAUCAGGACGCCUACCGGUAAAGCUUAUUGAGAAGAAAUGAAGAAUGCACUCCGAUCAACAGCUAAUGGCAAGCAAAGAUACUGAGAAAUUUUUGGUGAAACUAUCUUGUUUAGCGUUGUGAUGCGUCUUUGUAAUGGGCUAGUUUUGGGCAUUUGUUAUAUUUGAUAUAUAAAAAACUGUAACAAUCACAUAAUUGAUUCUCAUUUUCUGUUUGAGAAAAUUUGACAUUAAAGACAAAUGAGAGAAGUUGAAGUUGAAGUCUAUAGACUAAAAUAUUGCUUUUCAGUUGCUUAGUCAUGGUCAUCAGUGUUUUUCUCGCGUUUAGGUGUCAAAAUUCUUAGAUAUAAUUGGUUUUUGGGUAUAUUGACUAGACUAAAAUUCAACAUAUUUAAGUGAAAUUGUUCUCAUAGCAAACAUUUUUAGUAGUUUCUAAGUUAGUCAAUUCAUCAGCACAAUAAAUCAGUUUAUUUAUUUAGAUGUAAACGAAAUUAUUCUCAUAGCAAACAUUUUUAGUUGUUUCUAAGUUAGUCAAUUCAUCAUCACAAUAAAUCAGUUUGUUUAUUUAGAUGUUAAUGAAACAUUUGUAUAGCGUAGGUUAGACACAAAUAGAAGAUAGAUGUUGAAAAACAACAAAGAAAAUAAUAAAACUAAAUGUAAGUUUUAAGAAAUAAACUCACUCAUCUUGUGAAUGUAAUGGCUUUAGAGUACUGAACAAUGUUUCAUUUAUAUGCACCUUCAAAAUCAUGAUAUAUUCUUAUAAGACUAUUUGAUUAUAAAAAUGAGUCCCCAAAGCAUAAUAACAU